UAAGCAUAUCAAUAAGCGGAGGAAAAGAAACCAACAGGGAUUGCCCUAGUAACGGCGAGUGAAGCGGCAACAGCUCAAAUUUGAAAUCUGGCGUCUUUGGCGUCCGAGUUGUAAUUUGCAGAGGGCGCUUUGGCAUUGGCAGCGGUCCAAGUUCCUUGGAACAGGACGUCACAGAGGGUGAGAAUCCCGUACGUGGUCGCUAGCCUUUACCGUGUAAAGCCCCUUCGACGAGUCGAGUUGUUUGGGAAUGCAGCUCUAAAUGGGAGGUAAAUUUCUUCUAAAGCUAAAUACUGGCCAGAGACCGAUAGCGCACAAGUAGAGUGAUCGAAAGAUGAAAAGCACUUUGGAAAGAGAGUUAAAAAGCACGUGAAAUUGUUGAAAGGGAAGCGCUUGCAGCCAGACUUGCCUGUAGUUGCUCAUCUGGGUUUUUACCCAGUGCACUCUUCUAUAGGCAGGCCAGCAUCAGUUUGGGCGGUUGGAUAAAGGUCUCUGUCAUGUACCUCUCUUCGGGGAGAACUUAUAGGGGAGACGACAUGCAACCAGCCUGGACUGAGGUCCGCGCAUCUGCUAGGAUGCUGGCGUAAUGGCUGUAAGCGGCCCGUCUUGAAACACGGACCAAGGAGUCUAACAUCUAUGCGAGUGUUUGGGUGUCAAGCCCGAGCGCGUAAUGAAAGUGAACGGAGGUGGGAACCUUUCGGGGUGCACCAUCGACCGAUCCUGAUGUCUUCGGAUGGAUUUGAGUAAGAGCAUAGCUGUUGGGACCCGAAAGAUGGUGAACUAUGCUUGAAUAGGGUGAAGCCAGAGGAAACUCUGGUGGAGGCUCGCAGCGGUUCUGACGUGCAAAUCGAUCGUCAAAUUUGGGCAUAGGGGCGAAAGACUAAUCG
This 884-nucleotide ribosomal RNA is filed under the name Ascochyta medicaginicola var. macrospora. Its description in RNAcentral is "LSU rRNA". It matches the Rfam family "Eukaryotic large subunit ribosomal RNA", at positions 35 to 937 of the family's 3401-position model. Lineage: Eukaryota; Fungi; Ascomycota; Dothideomycetes; Pleosporales; Didymellaceae. The record is from RNAcentral.